AACGAACGCUGGCGGCAGGCCUAACACAUGCAAGUCGAGCGCUCUUCUUCGGAAGGGAGCGGCGGACGGGUUAGUAACGCGUGGGAACAUACCCUUUUCUAAGGAAUAGCCUCGGGAAACUGAGAGUAAUACCUUAUACGCCCUUCGGGGAAAGAUUUAUCGGUUAAGGAUUGGCCCGCGUUAGAUUAGAUAGUUGGUGGGGUAAUGGCCUACCAAGU
This 218-nucleotide ribosomal RNA is filed under the name uncultured Paracoccaceae bacterium. RNAcentral describes it as "uncultured Rhodobacteraceae bacterium partial 16S ribosomal RNA". It matches the Rfam family "Bacterial small subunit ribosomal RNA", at positions 29 to 273 of the family's 1533-position model. The record is from RNAcentral. Lineage: Bacteria; Pseudomonadati; Pseudomonadota; Alphaproteobacteria; Rhodobacterales; Paracoccaceae.